Long non-coding RNA from Passer domesticus (house sparrow), 1900 nucleotides. RefSeq lists it as uncharacterized. NCBI's taxonomy places the organism in Eukaryota, Metazoa, Chordata, Aves, Passeriformes, Passeridae. The record is from RefSeq and is a predicted model, not a curated record. The transcript has 2 exons.
AUGCCCGGCAGACGCUCAGUAUCGUAAACAGGGAAGUAACUGUGACAAAUGAGCCAAGAUUUAUUUAGGAAAUUAAAGGAAAUGACCAGCUAAGCACCAGCACGUUAUUCUCGGCAGCAAGAGCUGGCUGCCAGGGAAGUUCAAGGAGAAUGUUAUCCCAGUCACUGCAGGAUAUAUUCUGGCACGGGCUUCCACCUGUGGCUGCAGGGUUUGGUUCUGUAGGAAUAAAAGGCUUUUGCCACGCUGAAAUCUGCUGUACAGAGCCUCUGUAGAGGAUCCCUGCCUCGGUCAAGUUGGCACGUUCUGCUCUGGCAAACACCAUGCCCAGAGGGUCCAGGCCCUCCUCACACACAGACAGAGCUUCCUCGGCUUCAAUCUGCUCGAUCCUCCUCUUAGGUCAAAUUUUCCUGCUACUCCUCAUGACAGGGCUGUACCUGGAGACUGGCCUGCCUCAGCCCUGUUCUGAUUUUCCACUGGGUUGAAACAGGUUUUCAUGCUGGUGUCAUGCCUUUGGAAUGACAUCUGGAGAAGCCAGUCCUUAGCUUGUCUCACUUCACACUGUCGUUCAGGUUAAUGAUGUGUUGCAAUAUUUUGACACGUUCCAUUUAGGGAUCCAAGCUGAAAGGCUUGGCUGACACCAAGAUCUCUGAGUUACAGAAGGACACUGCUGUUUAGAGAGAGGUGGAGUGUUUCUGCCUAAGAAGUGCCUUGGUAACAGACAAGUAAAAUCCAUGACUUCUUACUUGUUGCCUCAGGCACUAACUAGUUGAAUGUGUUACCUCCCACAUAACUGUGUCAGAAGGAGAGAUUUUGCUUUCCAAUCCACCUGCUUUUCCCAUCUGAUUCAGUCUGAGGCUAGAGCCCAGUAUUUGGGACACCAGACCCAAAAUCUGUUUCAUGGUCAGGAGGCUGCUGGGUGCCACUGCAAGGACCACGACACUUUUAGCUCCUGCCUUCCUCACCACUGUGCCAAUCUCACCUGCCUUGCAGGUGUCAGAGGUGGAAGAUGCAGACAUGGUGUCCAGGACAGCAUUACACCUUCAUGUAGUCACCAAAUUCCACUCUUCUGAGACAUUUUAUCUCUCUCAAAUACUCUUUCAGCUUUUAUUAGAUCAGUCUGCAGGAUAUUACUUCUGAUUUGAAACUGCUUUGCUGUUCAGGUGCUGAGCAACUGCAGGGACAGAUGUGCCUGUCUUGUUUCAGAGCUGUUCUACCAACCUACUGAUUUCUAGUGUUGGGCAUGAAUCUGCACCACAGGAUCCCACCUGGACUGCUCUCCUGUGUCUCUGCCUUUUUUUUUUUCCAAGGGGAAUUCAGUCACCAGGGCUCUUCUAGUGCUGCAAGAAGCCACGAGUCUGCAAAAUCCUAGUGGUCUGGUUGGAUUUCAGGAGUUUGGUGCUCAGGGUCAUUGUCUCACACCCGAGUCCAGCCAAGAGAAUAGUCUGAUGCUAAAUAGUGGUCAGAAACCCUGCAGAGAAUGCAGAGCUCCAAAAUCCAAACCACCUGCUGUUGUGCAAGAUGGCGUGGCCUGGAAGGAAGCAUUCCAUCUCCUUGCCAAACAUCAGCCCAUUGGUUGGUUGUGUCUGCAAAUUCCUCUUCCAAUCUCUAUGGGACAGGUGCUCUUCUUCAGUUCCUCUCACAAAUGGCAUUUGCUGGCUGCACUGGACAGCUGGAGAGACAGAUGUGUCUGUUCUCCAGAGUAGCUCUGAGCAGCCCCCUGUUACUUUCAGCUCAUACAGGCUUGCAUUAAAAAAAAAAAAAAACCCAAACAAAAACCCCAAAACAAUAAAAAACCACCACAAACAAACAACAGAAAAAACCGAAAAAACUAAACAAAAAACCAAAAAAACAAAAAAACACAACACCCCCCCCCAAAAAAAAAAAAAAAAAAACCACAAAA